CUACGGGGCGCUCCAGUGAGGAAUAUUGCACAAUGGGGGGAACCCUGAUGCAGCAACGCCGCGUGGAGGAUGACGCAUUUCGGUGUGUAAACUCCUUUUAUAUGUCAAGAAAAUGACGGUAGCAUAUGAAUAAGCACCGGCUAACUCCGUGCCAGCAGCCGCGGUAAUACGGAGGGUGCAAGCGUUACUCGGAAUCACUGGGCGUAAAGGACGCGUAGGCGGGAUAUCAAGUCAGGUGUGAAAUCCUACAGCUUAACUGUAGAACUGCACUUGAAACUGGUAACCUAGAGUAUGGGAGGGGGAGAUGGAAUUAGUGGUGUAGGGGUAAAAUCCGUAGAUAUCACUAGGAAUACCUAAAGCGAAGGCGAUCUCCUGGAACAUAACUGACGCUAAGGCGUGAAAGCGUGGGGAGCAAACAGGAUUAGAUAACCUGGUAGUC
Molecule: ribosomal RNA, 439 nt
Filed under: uncultured bacterium
Lineage: Bacteria
Description: partial 16S ribosomal RNA
Rfam family: Bacterial small subunit ribosomal RNA
Source: RNAcentral